GGCUUUACGGGAGGCAGCAGUAGGGAAUCUUCCACAAUGGACGCAAGUCUGAUGGAGCAACGCCGCGUGAGUGAAGAAGGGUUUCGGCUCGUAAAGCUCUGUUGUUGGUGAAGAAGGAUAGAGGUAGUAACUGGCCUUUAUNNGACGGUAAUCAACCAGAAAGUCACGGCUAANUACGUNCCAGCA
This 186-nucleotide ribosomal RNA is filed under the name uncultured bacterium. RNAcentral's name for it is "partial 16S ribosomal RNA". It matches the Rfam family "Bacterial small subunit ribosomal RNA", at positions 334 to 513 of the family's 1533-position model. The record is from RNAcentral.